AGUUUUUCGAAUCUGUGCUGAGAUUUUGUCAAACACCAACCCAUUAGAGCUGAUCACACUUCCAAGAAAAGUGAAGUU
RNAcentral lists this microRNA precursor (78 nucleotides) under Schistosoma curassoni. RNAcentral's name for it is "mir-3492 microRNA precursor family". It matches the Rfam family "mir-3492 microRNA precursor family". The record is from Rfam by way of RNAcentral. Lineage: Eukaryota; Metazoa; Platyhelminthes; Trematoda; Strigeidida; Schistosomatidae.